RNAcentral lists this ribosomal RNA (301 nucleotides) under uncultured bacterium. Its description in RNAcentral is "bacterial SSU rRNA". It matches the Rfam family "Bacterial small subunit ribosomal RNA", at positions 505 to 804 of the family's 1533-position model. The record is from RNAcentral.
GUGCCAGCAGCCGCGGUAAUACGGAGGGUGCGAGCGUUAAUCGGAAUUACUGGGCGUAAAGGGCGCGUAGGCGGCUGAUCAAGUCAGGUGUGAAAGCCCACGGCUUAACCGUGUGAAGUGCAUCUGAAACUGGUCGGCUUGAGUAUCGGAGAGGAAAGUGGAAUUCCCGGUGUAGAGGUGAAAUUCGUAGAUAUCGGGAGGAAUACCGGUGGCGAAGGCGACUUUCUGGACGAAUACUGACGCUGAGGUGCGAAAGCGUGGGGAGCAAACAGGAAUAGAUACCCGGGUAGUCCACGCCGGA